GGCGAUUGAGAAUAUUGAUUCAGUGGCAGAACAUAAGGUCAUUGACCUCCUGGUUCUGCUCAUCCUGCACACAACCAAAUCCAACCACAGCCGGCGCGGGGCGGAGAGGGUCCUGCGGACAAGGUGCGGGGAGUCCCUGCUUCAGGCUGCCGUCUGGGGUCACGCGACGGAAGAAGACAAUGAGGAUAAAAGUGACUCGGAGGUGAGGAAUGGAGUCUGAGAUGAUGAGGUGGAGGAUGAUGAAGAAGAGAGUACUGAUGAUUCAGAUUAGACACAUCUGCUCGAGGAGAGGGGACUGAAGAAGCAGCAACAGCCACUGCCCUGACUGCUUGCCACUACAGCCAGGAUACACUGUCCUCUCCCCACCAAUACAAAGCUGAGAGCACAGUGUUCAUAUGCUUUCCUGGAAACCACUCUCAAGCUCGUUGCUUCAGUUAUUUUCCUCUUAUUUUUUUGCAAGCAGAUUCAUUAUGGUCUCUGUAAAACAGCAUUAAUUGCAGGCUGACUGAGCACAGUCAGGGUGCUGGGUAUCCUGUCUUUGUAACGACUUAUAUAAAGCUAACUUGCUCCACCUUGGGAGAAUGAAAUAAUAAUUUGUAGUUGUGGACUCAAUGGGAAUAAUGUGAU
Molecule: long non-coding RNA, 627 nt
Organism: Polyodon spathula (Mississippi paddlefish)
Lineage: Eukaryota; Metazoa; Chordata; Actinopteri; Acipenseriformes; Polyodontidae
Exons: 3
Source: RefSeq, a predicted model, not a curated record